This 253-nucleotide ribosomal RNA is filed under the name uncultured bacterium. RNAcentral describes it as "partial 16S ribosomal RNA". It matches the Rfam family "Bacterial small subunit ribosomal RNA", at positions 524 to 776 of the family's 1533-position model. The record is from RNAcentral.
GACGUAGGGCGCGAGCGUUGUCCGGAUUUAUUGGGCGUAAAGAGCUCGUAGGCGGCUUGUCGCGUCGUUCGUGAAAACCCACGGCUCAACUGUGGGCUUGCGGUCGAUACGGGCAGGCUGGAGUUCGGUAGGGGAGACUGGAAUUCCUGGUGUAGCGGUGAAAUGCGCAGAUAUCAGGAGGAACACCGGUGGCGAAGGCGGGACUCUGGGCCGAUACUGACGCUGAGGAGCGAAAGCGUGGGGAGCAAACAGG